RNAcentral lists this ribosomal RNA (252 nucleotides) under uncultured prokaryote. RNAcentral's name for it is "partial 16S ribosomal RNA". It matches the Rfam family "Bacterial small subunit ribosomal RNA", at positions 525 to 775 of the family's 1533-position model. The record is from RNAcentral.
AGGAAGGGUGCAAGCGUUAAUCGGAAUUACUGGGCGUAAAGCGCGCGUAGGUGGCAUGGUAAGUCGGAUGUUAAAGACCCACGGCUCACCCGGGGGAAUGCGUCCGAUACUGCCGUGCUAGAGUGCGGGAGAGGAAAGUGGAAUUCCUGGUGUAGCGGUGAAAUGCGUAGAUAUCAGGAGGAACACCGGUGGCGAAGGCGGCUUUCUGGCCCGUAACUGACACUGAGGCGCGAAAGCGUGGGGAGCGAACGG